UUAUUACUCCCUCCGACCGGAAUUAGUUGUCGUACAAAUGAAUAAAAAUAGAUGUAUUUAAAACUAAAAUACAUUUAGAUACAUCCAGUCUAUUAACAAGUAUUUUCGGACGGAGGGAGUAUAAU
Molecule: non-coding RNA, 125 nt
Organism: Hordeum vulgare subsp. vulgare (domesticated barley)
Lineage: Eukaryota; Viridiplantae; Streptophyta; Magnoliopsida; Poales; Poaceae
Source: Rfam